Molecule: ribosomal RNA, 343 nt
Filed under: Penicillium crustosum
Lineage: Eukaryota; Fungi; Ascomycota; Eurotiomycetes; Eurotiales; Aspergillaceae
Description: eukaryotic LSU rRNA
Rfam family: 5.8S ribosomal RNA (bases 1-125)
Source: RNAcentral
UGCAUCGAUGAAGAACGCAGCGAAAUGCGAUACGUAAUGUGAAUUGCAAAUUCAGUGAAUCAUCGAGUCUUUGAACGCACAUUGCGCCCCCUGGUAUUCCGGGGGGCAUGCCUGUCCGAGCGUCAUUGCUGCCCUCAAGCCCGGCUUGUGUGUUGGGCCCCGUCCCCCGAUCUCCGGGGGACGGGCCCGAAAGGCAGCGGCGGCACCGCGUCCGGUCCUCGAGCGUAUGGGGCUUUGUCACCCGCUCUGUAGGCCCGGCCGGCGCUUGCCGAUCAACCCAAAUUUUUAUCCAGGUUGACCUCGGAUCAGGUAGGGAUACCCGCUGAACUUAAGCAUAUCAAUA